Molecule: ribosomal RNA, 448 nt
Filed under: uncultured bacterium
Lineage: Bacteria
Description: bacterial SSU rRNA
Rfam family: Bacterial small subunit ribosomal RNA
Source: RNAcentral
UACCAGACUCCUACGGGAGGCAGCAGUGGGGGAUAUUGCACAAUGGGGGAAACCCUGAUGCAGCGACGCCGCGUGGGCGAAGAAGUAUUUCGGUAUGUAAAGCCCUCUCAGCAGGGAAGAAGAAAUGACGGUACCUGAGUAAGAAGCACCGGCUAAAUACGUGCCAGCAGCCGCGGUAAUACGUAUGGUGCAAGCGUUAUCCGGAUUUACUGGGUGUAAAGGGAGCGUAGACGGCAGAGCAAGUCUGAAGUGAAAGCCCGCGGCCCAACUGCGGGACUGCUUUGGAAACUGCCCGGCUAGAGUGCUGGAGAGGUAAGCGGAAUUCCUAGUGUAGCGGUGAAAUGCGUAGAUAUUAGGAGGAACACCAGUGGCGAAGGCGGCUUACUGGACAGUAACUGACGUUGAGGCUCGAAAGCGUGGGGAGCAAACAGGAUUAGAUACCCGUGUA